Haliotis rubra (blacklip abalone) is the source of this 230-nucleotide long non-coding RNA. RefSeq lists it as uncharacterized. Lineage: Eukaryota; Metazoa; Mollusca; Gastropoda; Lepetellida; Haliotidae. The record is from RefSeq and is a predicted model, not a curated record. The transcript is spliced from 2 exons.
CAUCCGUAUUACCAUGGUUACGGGAAUGCAAAACUUCAAACUUGCAAAUUUUGCAAGUGUAAAGAAUUGUAGCAGUAUUGCAUUUGCUACACAAUCAUCCUAUCUAGAAUAACUGGAUUAUUUGGUUGCAAAUAAACAAAUAACUGCAGGUUUAACAGCCUAACAAACUAUAUGACAUGUCAGUCAUACAAAAGUCCCUUUUCCUUUUGACAUAAGGUGUAUGAAAUAUG